GUUCGUUUCUGUGUGUGUAACAUUUUUACGUUGUGUUUCCGUUGUGUCGUUUGUUUUCUCUUAUAUUUUAGUGUGAAUUCACAUUACUAUAAGACGUGUCACGGUACUUUUCUAUCCCAAAUUCAUGUAUUUGGUUUUGAUGUUAUAUUUGUUAUUCUCAUCGAAUUGUGUCUAAUGCUUAGUCCGUUUCUGUGUGUGUUACAUUUUAAUGUUGUGUCGUUGUUCUCCUCUUAUAUUUAAUGCGUUUCCCUCAGUUUUGGUUUGUUA
RNAcentral lists this long non-coding RNA (267 nucleotides) under Mytilus galloprovincialis (Mediterranean mussel). The record is from RNAcentral. Lineage: Eukaryota; Metazoa; Mollusca; Bivalvia; Mytilida; Mytilidae.